GACGAACGCUGGCGGCGUGCUUAACACAUGCAAGUCGAACGGAAAGGCCCUGCUUGCAGGGUACUCGAGUGGCGAACGGGUGAGUAACACGUGGGUGAUCUGCCCUGCACUUCGGGAUAAGCCUGGGAAACUGGGUCUAAUACCGGAUAGGAGCCAUUUUUAGUGUGAUGGUUGGAAAGUUUUUUCGGUGCAGGAUGAGCUCGCGGCCUAUCAGCUUGUUGGUGGGGUAAUGGCCUACCAAGGCGGCGACGGGUAGCCGGCCUGAGAGGGUGGACGGCCACAGUGGGACUGAGAUACGGCCCAGACUCCUACGGGAGGCAGCAGUGGGGAAUAUUGCACAAUGGGCGCAAGCCUGAUGCAGCGACGCCGCGUGGGGGAUGACGGCCUUCGGGUUGUAAACUCCUUUCGCUAGGGACGAAGCUUUUUGUGACGGUACCUAGAUAAGAAGCACCGGCUAACUACGUG
RNAcentral lists this ribosomal RNA (465 nucleotides) under uncultured bacterium. RNAcentral's name for it is "partial 16S ribosomal RNA". It matches the Rfam family "Bacterial small subunit ribosomal RNA", at positions 28 to 507 of the family's 1533-position model. The record is from RNAcentral.